Molecule: ribosomal RNA, 487 nt
Filed under: uncultured bacterium
Lineage: Bacteria
Description: partial 16S ribosomal RNA
Rfam family: Bacterial small subunit ribosomal RNA
Source: RNAcentral
GAUGAACGCUAGCGAUAGGCUUAACACAUGCAAGUCGAGGGGCAGCACAAGGUAGCUUGCUAUCUGGGUGGCGACCGGCGCACGGGUGCGUAACGCGUAUGCAACUUGCCCUAUACAGGAGGAUAACCCGUCGAAAGACGGACUAAUACUGCGUAUGCUCACAACUUGGCAUCAAGUGGUGAGGAAAGAAAUUCGGUAUAGGAUAGGCAUGCGUCCCAUUAGCUUGUUGGUGAGGUAACGGCUCACCAAGGCAACGAUGGGUAGGGGAACUGAGAGGUUUAUCCCCCACACUGGUACUGAGACACGGACCAGACUCCUACGGGAGGCAGCAGUGAGGAAUAUUAGUCAAUGGGCGCGAGCCUGAACCAGCCAAGUCGCGUGAAGGAUGACUGUCUUAUGGAUUGUAAACUUCUUUUAUACGGGAAUAACAAGAGUCACGUGUGACUCCCUGCAUGUACCGUAUGAAUAAGCAUCGGCUAACUCCGUG